This 1678-nucleotide long non-coding RNA is filed under the name Citrus x clementina. RNAcentral's name for it is "Citrus clementina (C. clementina) long non-coding RNA (CCLE_LNC000687)". The record is from RNAcentral. Lineage: Eukaryota; Viridiplantae; Streptophyta; Magnoliopsida; Sapindales; Rutaceae.
GGGCGAAGUUCGUCCGCGGGACUCGGAAUGGCACCAGACUUGGCGGGCGGCCUCCGUGUGCCAAAAAUAGGCCACGGGCACAGCCUCGCCCAAAAAUCAGCCCCCGAAGGUCGGGGUCCCAAGACCCCCCAGCGGAAAAAUGGCCAAAAAACGGGUGGGCUAUAGCCUUGGUGGGGGGCGUGGGCGAAGUUCAUCCGCGGGACUCGGAAUGGCACCAAACUUGGCGGGCGGAAUCCGUGUUGCAAAAAUAAGCCACGGGCACAGCCCCGCCCAAAAAACAGCCUCCGAAGUUCGGGGUCCCAAGACCCCCCAGCGGAAAAAUGGCCAAAAAACGGGUGGGCUAUAGCCUUGGUGGGGGGCGUGGGCGAAGUUCGUCCGCGGGACUCGGAAUGGCACCAGACUUGGCGGGCGGCCUCCGUGUGCCAAAAAUAGGCCACGGGCACAGCCGCGCACAAAAACCAGCCCCCGAAGGUCGGGGUCCCAAGACCCCCCAGCGGAAAAAUGGCCAAAAAACGGGUGGGCUAUAGCCUUGGUGGGGGGCGUGGGCGAAGUUCGUCCGCGGGACUCGGAAAGGUACCAGACUUGGCGGGCUGCCUCCGUGUGCCAAAAAUAGGCCACGGGCACAGCCGCCCCCAAAAAUCAGCCCCCGAAGGUCGGGGUCCCAAGACCCCCCAGCGGAAAAAUGGCCAAAAAACGGGUGGGCUAUAGCCUUGGUGGGGGGCGUGGGCGAAGUUCGUCCGCGGGACACGGAAUGGCACCAGACUUGGCAGGCGGCCUCCGUGUUCCAAAAAUAGGCCACGGGCACAGCCGCGCCCAAAAACCAGCCCCCGAAGGUCGGGGUCCCAAGACCCCCCAGCGGAAAAAUGGCCAAAAAACGGGUGGGCUAUAGCCUUGGUGGGGGGCGUGGGCGAAGUUCAUCCGCGGGACUCGGAAUGGCACCAGACUUGGCGGGCGGCCUCCGUGUUGCAAAAAUAGGCCACGGGCACAGCCGCGCCCAAAAAACAGCCCCCGAAGUUCGGGGUCCCAAGACCCCCCAGCGGAAAAAUGGCCAAAAAACGGGUGGGCUAUAGCCUUGGUGGGGGGCGUGGGCGAAGUUCGUCCGCGGGACUCGGAAUGGCACCAGACUUGGCGGGCGGCCUCCGUGUGCCAAAAAUAGGCCACGGGCACAGCCGCACCCAAAACACAGCCCCCGAAGGUCGGGGUCCCAAGACCCCCCAGCGGAAAAAUGGCCAAAAAACGGGUGGGCUAUAGCCUUGGUGGGGGGCGUGGGCGAAGUUCGUCCACGGGACUCGGAAUGGCACCAGACUUGGCGGUAGGCCUCCGUGUGCCAAAAAUAGGCCACAGGCACAGCCGCGCCCAAAAAACAGCCCCCGAAGUUCGGGGUCCCAAGACCCCCUUGCGGAAAAAUGGCCAAAAAACGGGAGGGCUAUAGCCUUUGUGGGGGGCGUGGGCGAAGUUCGUCCGCGGGACUCGGAAUGGCACCGGACUUGGCGGUAGGCCUCCGUGUGCCAAAAAUAGGCCACGGGCACAGCCGCGCCCAAAAAACAGCCCCCGAAGUUCGGGGUCCCAAGACCCCCCAGCGGAAAAAUGGCCAAAAAACGGGUGGGCUAUAGCCUUGGUGGGGGGCGUGGGCGAAGUUCGUCCGCGGGACUCGGAAUGGCACCAGACUUGGCGGGCU